AUUCCAGCUCCAAUAGCGUAUAUUAAAGUUGUUGCGGUUAAAAAGCUCGUAGUUGGAGUUCUGCCAGGUGACGCUCGUCCGCCCUAGUGGUGUGUACAGGGCGUGCAUCUGGCCCUUUCAAGGGGAACGUGUCUGCUCUUUAUUGAGUGGUGCGAGAUCCUUGACUUUUACUUUGAGGAAAUCAGAGUGUUCAAAGCAGGCUUAUGCCGUUGAAUAUAUUAGCAUGGAAUAAUAAGAUAGGACUUUGGUACUAUUUUGUUGGUUUGCGCACCAAAGUAAUGAUUAAUAGAGACAGUUGGGGGUAUUCGUAUUCCGUUGUCAGAGGUGAAAUUCUUGGAUUUACGGAAGACGAACUACUGCGAAAGCAUUUACCAAGGAUGUUUUCAUUA
This 389-nucleotide ribosomal RNA is filed under the name Papiliocellulus sp. Its description in RNAcentral is "partial small subunit ribosomal RNA". It matches the Rfam family "Eukaryotic small subunit ribosomal RNA", at positions 582 to 975 of the family's 1831-position model. The record is from RNAcentral. Lineage: Eukaryota; Bacillariophyta; Thalassiosirophyceae; Cymatosirales; Cymatosiraceae.